This 530-nucleotide small RNA is filed under the name Pan troglodytes (chimpanzee). RNAcentral's name for it is "processed transcript". The record is from RNAcentral. Lineage: Eukaryota; Metazoa; Chordata; Mammalia; Primates; Hominidae.
AGCGCUUCCUUCGCGGCUCCAGGGACGCAGUGCCCUGCAGGCAUCGCCUGCUUGCAGCCGACUUGAGGGGCUCACGGAGUCCCCUGUGCCCGGGACGCGGCUAGAUCCUGGGGAAAACCCCUCCACCCAGCCCCAUCUGGCAGAUAGACUCCAGAUUAGCAACCCCGGAGUCACGUAAGGAACCUACCCUUGGAGAGGUGAAGGAGUGAAUUAGUCCAGCUUGCCCGGUGCACACCUAGCUGCAGAGAGACCCCGCUCAGAAGCCGUGCGGGAUAGGGGCCCCACAGGCAGCAACCCAGACUACUACGGACUCAUCUAACAAAACAGCACCGACUCCAGCAUCCAAUGUCACCAUCAUGGCUACAGAUACAGCCCAGCAGAGCACAGUCCCCACUUCCAAGGCCAACGAAAUCUUGGCCUCGGUCAAGGCGACCACCCUUGGUGUAUCCAGUGACUCACCGGGGACUACAACCCUGGCUCAGCAAGUCUCAGGCCCAGUCAACACUACCGUGGCUAGAAGAGGUGGCUCA